UGCUCACGUCUUCUAACAGAGCCCCAAAACCUAAGAGAAUUCAUCCACUUCACGCUAUAGUAGCUGCCUUGAAUCUCUCCAACAUCACUUUUAAUGGCGAAUCCAGGUAUAGUUGUAACGUCAUAGUUUUUUUUUUUUUUUGAUUGAUUGAUGUAUGCGAUUAUGAUAUUGAAGAAUGAAGUUGUAUAAUUAUAUAUAAUAAUAUACUUCUGAAAUUCUAUACCUUAAUAUCAAUGAUUUUUUUGUUCUUUUUUAAAUAGUAAUAGCAAAUACGAUUAUUUCAUGUAUUUUCUUGAUUAUUUCAUUAAUAAUCUGUUUUGAGUUUAAGUUCAUUAAUGUACUUGUAUUUAUUCAUGCAGGGAAU
Molecule: long non-coding RNA, 364 nt
Filed under: Salvia miltiorrhiza (redroot sage)
Lineage: Eukaryota; Viridiplantae; Streptophyta; Magnoliopsida; Lamiales; Lamiaceae
Description: long non-coding RNA (SMIL_LNC014424)
Source: RNAcentral